This 280-nucleotide ribosomal RNA is filed under the name Escherichia coli. RNAcentral's name for it is "partial 23S ribosomal RNA". It matches the Rfam family "Bacterial large subunit ribosomal RNA", at positions 1614 to 1875 of the family's 2925-position model. The record is from RNAcentral. Lineage: Bacteria; Pseudomonadati; Pseudomonadota; Gammaproteobacteria; Enterobacterales; Enterobacteriaceae.
AAAGCCUCUAAGCAUCAGGUAACAUCAAAUCGUACCCCAAACCGACACAGGUGGUCAGGUAGAGAAUACCAAGGCGCUUGAGAGAACUCGGGUGAAGGAACUAGGCAAAAUGGUGCCGUAACUUCGGGAGAAGGCACGCUGAUAUGUAGGUGAAGCGACUUGCUCGUGGAGCUGAAAUCAGUCGAAGAUACCAGCUGGCUGCAACUGUUUAUUAAAAACACAGCACUGUGCAAACACGAAAGUGGACGUAUACGGUGUGACGCCUGCCCGGUGCCGGAAG